RNAcentral lists this ribosomal RNA (460 nucleotides) under uncultured bacterium. RNAcentral's name for it is "partial 16S ribosomal RNA". It matches the Rfam family "Bacterial small subunit ribosomal RNA", at positions 338 to 795 of the family's 1533-position model. The record is from RNAcentral.
CCUACGGGGGGCAGCAGUGAGGAAUAUUGGUCAAUGGACGGAAGUCUGAACCAGCCAUGCCGCGUGCAGGAAGACGGCUCUAUGAGUUGUAAACUGCUUUUGUACAAGGGUAAACCUGAAUACGUGUAUUCAGCUGAAAGUACUGUACGAAUAAGGAUCGGCUAACUCCGUGCCAGCAGCCGCGGUAAUACGGAGGAUCCAAGCGUUAUCCGGAUUUAUUGGGUUUAAAGGGUUCGUAGGCGGAUUGAUAAGUUAGAGGUGAAAUGUCCGGGCUUAACUCGGGAACUGCCUUUAAUACUGUUGAUCUAGAGAGGAUAUGCGGUAGGCGGAAUGUAUGGUGUAGCGGUGAAAUGCUUAGAGAUCAUACAGAACACCGAUUGCGAAGGCAGCUUACCAAUCUAUAUCUGACGUUGAGGCACGAAAGCGUGGGGAGCGAACAGGAUUAGAUACCCGGGUAGUC